GAGUUUGAUCUUGGCUCAGGAUGAACGCUGGCGGCGUGCUUAACACAUGCAAGUCGAACGGUGAAAGAGGAGCUUGCUCCUCUGGAUCAGUGGCGAACGGGUGAGUAACACGUGAGUAACCUGCCCUUGACUCUGGGAUAAGCGUUGGAAACGACGUCUAAUACCGGAUACGAGCUUCGGAGGCAUCUCCAGGAGCUGGAAAGAACUUCGGUCAAGGAUGGACUCGCGGCCUAUCAGCUAGUUGGUGAGGUAACGGCCCACCAAGGCGACGACGGGUAACCGGCCUGAGAGGGUGACCGGCCACACUGGGACUGAGACACGGCCCAGACUCCUACGGGAGGCAGCAGUGGGGAAUAUUGCACAAUGGGCGCAAGCCUGAUGCAGCAACGCCGCGUGAGGGACGACGGCCUCGGUUGUAACGU
RNAcentral lists this ribosomal RNA (422 nucleotides) under uncultured Actinomycetes bacterium. Its description in RNAcentral is "bacterial SSU rRNA". It matches the Rfam family "Bacterial small subunit ribosomal RNA", at positions 9 to 431 of the family's 1533-position model. Lineage: Bacteria; Bacillati; Actinomycetota; Actinomycetes. The record is from RNAcentral.